GACGAACGCUGGCGGCGUGCCUAACACAUGCAAGUCGUACGGUAAGGCCCUUUCCUUGGUACACUAGUGUCGAACGCGUGCGUAACACUAGAGUAACCUUCCCCCACCUUUGGGAUAACGCUAGGUAACGGGAGCCAAUACUGGUUCUGUGUUCCUUCUUCAUGGUGGUGGUUGGAAAGCGCCGGCCGUUGUGGCUGGACUGGCGGCCUAUCAGCUUGUUGGUGGGGUAGUGGGCUACCAAGGCGGCGUCGGGUAGCCGGCCUGCGUGGGUGACCGGCCACACUGGGACUGAGAGAAGGCCCAGACUCCUACGGGAGGGAGCAGUGGGGAAGAUUGCACGAUGGGCGCAAGCCGGGUGCAGCAGCGCCGCGUGCGGGAUGACGGCCUUAGGGGUGUAGAACGCUUUCAGCAGGAACGAAGCUUUUUGUGACGGUACCUGCAGAAGAAGCACCGGCUAACUACGUG
Molecule: ribosomal RNA, 465 nt
Filed under: uncultured bacterium
Lineage: Bacteria
Description: partial 16S ribosomal RNA
Rfam family: Bacterial small subunit ribosomal RNA
Source: RNAcentral